UGCAACUGGUAGAAAGUGCAGAGUGAUCAGCUAAUAGUCAUCUGUAGCCAUAAUGAGUUAUUGGCAGGCCUUCUAGGGUGGGCGUUGUUGGGGUUGUGUUGCAGAUUUCCUGUCUGUGCGCUUUAUGUCGGUUUGUUACUUCAUUUCGCACACAUCAUUUCAUCUGAUCUCUCUGAUCUCAACCAAUCACUGAGCAGCUGGCCUUUAAAGGUGACGCUCAUUUACGAUAGCACGUCAAUUCCUCGUCACUCUCUGAACUGCAGUUCUUCUAGUCAUGCCAGGCCCUGGUGUAACAUUGGUUAUCCUUUUAGGUAAGUGACAUUUUGUAUUCUAUUCUUGCUUGUGUGUCUCAAUUCAUUGCAAUGUUCAACGCUAGGUACCUUUUGGGCGUUUCAGGCGUUAUGCCAUUCUCUUUGAGAGCGUUUGAGACAGAAGUGGAUGUAAGAGUUUGGCCAGGAGACAAUGUCACUCUGUACUGUGACCAGGUUUGGACCGUAGGUUCAGAAAUCUACUGGCACAGAAUUAAUUGUUUUCAGCAUAGACACCCUUCCUUUAGAAAGACAGCUCUACAACUCAGUUGGAACAAAGACUCCCACCACAUGCCUAAGUGGAACUCCUCGAGCCAAUCCCACGACCUCCUCAUUCAGAACAUCACUGAAUCGGACCUGGGACUGUACUAAUGUUCAGUUGGCGUCAGACAACUGGUUGAUGCAACUCAGCUUUUGCGAAAUAUAAUCUACAAGCUGUCAUUUGAAGAUCUCCCACCCAGCCAGCCUCCCCCAGUCCCCCUCCCCCAGCUCCACUCCGUGCUGGGUGCUGUUGGCCAGUCUGUGUCCUCUGUGUGCAGUGGUCUCCAUAGUCACCUCCCUGAGCUGUGCUUACUGCCUCUGGUUCAACCCAGGUGAGGCCUGUCUGCAUACUGAGGUCACCUACAGACAACUGUGAACCCCAUCAGGACUUCUGCCCCGUUUUACAUUUUUGACAUUAGUGUUUGAUUAUGUGGGUCUCAUUGCAAAGGAGUGU
Long non-coding RNA from Alosa sapidissima (American shad), 1023 nucleotides. RefSeq lists it as uncharacterized. The record is from RefSeq and is a predicted model, not a curated record. NCBI's taxonomy places the organism in Eukaryota, Metazoa, Chordata, Actinopteri, Clupeiformes, Clupeidae. The transcript has 3 exons.